GUCUGAAGGCGGGAUUACUCGGGCCGUCGGUUUUGUGCUGUUUGCCCAUCUGUGUUUUUCAAGUUAUUGUCAACGAACACUUCUAGGCUCAGGAGUGGUACUUUGUGAAGGAAGAGCUAACGGAUUUCAAUCAGAAACAUCGAAGAAAAACAAACACUGUGCUCCUCCCCGUCGGGGAAUCGAACCCCGGUCUCCCGCGUGACAGGCGGGGAUACUCACCACUAUACUAACGAGGACUGAGCUAGCGAAACACCUCCCCAAACCCUGGAUCUGAUACCUUCACUCAGCGCGCUACCGGCAAGGUUCCUGAGGAUUCUGUCCUUCCGAGCCCUAAGAAAUGCUGUCCCGAAAACCAUGCGCGUUCUAGACCCUACCUGAGCGUGAGUCCCCAGAAGGGUAGUAACGAGCAGGAGUGACCGAGAGACAGACGGGCUGCGAGGCUGCAAAGACCUGAGUCCUGAAAGUCCCUGGGGUCUCACAAACACCACCCUGAAGAGGUCUCACUUCAUUUCACUACCUGUCAUCCACUACUAUAGGUUGACAGGCAUCAAUCAAACCGAAACCAGGCUCUGGUGGCACAGGAGAAGCACCCAGCAGGAAGGAGGGGAGCAGACAGUGAAUGUCUUGGCCAAGUCUGGAGGUGCCUGCGUUCUCCCUGGCACACUAGGAAGGACCGUGCACUGUGAGCCUCUUCCUGCCACCGGGGUAUCCACUCAAAACAAGAGACCUUACUGCCCUCCUCCUUGAAGCGCUCAGUUCGCUCUUAUCACUUCCCAGUCGAGCCUCCGCAGCGCCGUUCCAAUAACAAGCACCUUAGGGCACGCUCUCGUCUCCGCAAAAACCAAAGUAGGGCUCGUCCGGGAUUUGAACCCGGGACCUCUCGCACCCGAAGCGAGAAUCAUACCCCUAGACCAACGAGCCGACAUGCGACGGCCAUCGCGGACACCCUUAGAGGUCGUACUAGACUUUCCGCAGCCCUAGCGCCUUGAUUCAAGGCCAAACGGUCCUGGCGCGCGCUCAGGGACCACUGGCCCCCGUGCUGCAUACUCUGGAGGAGGGAUCCGGGAAUCUCUCUGCUCGCUGGCCGCCAGCUCCGACUCCUCCCAGGAAAUAACGUCGGGGAAGUAGGAGGGAGUGGUCUCGGCCUCGCCCCCGCGCAGCCCUCCAGGACUGCUUUCAGCACCCGAGUUCCCGCUCCCUGUGGCCACUGUCUCCGCGCCGUUCCAUAACCUGGGGUCUCGACUCUUCCCGCCUCCGCCCGCCGUCCUCGGACUCAGCCUCCCGGCGCAGAGAGCUUUGAAGACAAGCGGUGGAAUUAGCUGGUUGGGGACAGUUAAUAAGAAACCUCUAGGUGAACUCCAGUCCCUCUUUCUGUCCCUGCAUCUGUCCAUCCUCCUGGAGUGACGGGCAGGGCCAACCCCGGGCCAGACUCUUCGAUAGCCCACGGUCUCUCUAGACCGCGUGGUAGUUCCCAGGCAAGGGAGCAAUUCCUGAGGCCAAGAAGACUCACGGAGGAGGCAUCACUGAGAGGAGUGGCUGGAGGGGUGGGGUAGGGGGACCGUCUUUCCAACCUGCCUGAGUGCUGCGACGCGCCAGGCAAUGCGACCAGGGCCGUCCCUGACGCCUAAAACACCUGCCAGCGCUGGUCCCAGGACUUCCUGCCUUUAAGAACAGGUUACCCCUACCCUUUCGUCUAGCUUCUGCUCUCCAGUUACCUCCUAGGAUGUCCGGGAAGGAGACCCUCUUACCUGCCGCCUAAGACCCCCAAAAGGGUUUGGCCCUUCACUUUAUCUUUCCCAGGUGUCCUGGCCGGACAGUGGGGGAGGGCAGCAGAGAACAGCCCAUCCUUUCCUGUUAGCUCCCAAGCCUUUCAGCAUUUACUUCUACUCUCACCAGCCUGGCUUCAGUGCUCUGGAAAUGUGCCCUGGCCUUCCACACCAGGCUCUCUGGAGACCCCACUGAGAAUGUGUUCUCUUCUACUCCCACCCUAUCGACACGGUCCCAGUGCUUCCCUACUCUCUAGCAGGAUACCAGAUGGCGCCAGGACAACCAUAUCUCCUGAUAACUCCUAACCCUGACUGCCAGUUUGUGGAGACAAAUGAAGAUAACUAUACAUAAGGGGCCUGGUACAGGAACUGCACAUAGAAGACACCCCCCAUUCCUCAAAUUUUUUAAUAAAAAAUAUUAAAAAUAUAGUAUAUUAUAUGUACUUACAUAAUUUUGAGGCCCUAAACCAAAAGAAAUACAGUGAAGAAUCAAACAAAACAAAUCGACUCAGGUUCUAGGGGAUGUCCUGGGUAGGGGAAGAUGCGAGGGCGGCGGAGUGGCCCCCAGGGCUGGCCCACAAGCACCAGAGGGGUGUGGCAUAAGCUGGGGAGAGGAAGGUGUAGGCCUGCGCCGGAUUUCCGCCCUGGUUGCUGGGCAAGCUUUUAGAGCGGCGGUCUCCUGGGACAGGCAGCUCAGCUCAGCAGGAAAUCUGGAACCCUUGCGUUCUCUAGUAUAAAAACAAUUGAUAAAUCCAUCGGAGGGUACAGAUGCAGCGGCAAAAAGUGAG
Molecule: long non-coding RNA, 2554 nt
Organism: Equus caballus (horse)
Lineage: Eukaryota; Metazoa; Chordata; Mammalia; Perissodactyla; Equidae
Source: Ensembl